UGAACAAUACAGAAGAUUCUCUUGUGAGGGGUCUUCCUCUAGCUUUCCAGACUGGCAGCCUCCAGAAAGCAAUCUGCAUCGUGGAGAUGGCUCUUUGGGUAAAGGACUCGCCUUCAAGCAAGGUGACCAGAGGUGGGGCCAUCAUCAUACAUGUGAGUACCAGGGUUACUGAACAUUGAGCAUACGGUACUGAAGGGUCUCUGGGAAGACAAUCACGAGCUGAGCAUCAAGAUUAUUUCCAAUAAAAAAGACCAAAGUACACCUCAUCACAAGUCACUGACGACCAGAAACUUGUGUUUCAGAACAACAGUAACAAGAUGUAUAUAUGGAGGUGUGAAUUCCACUUCUAGAAUUAACUAGGUCAAAAGUUUUGCUGUUGCAUCCAAAUGAACCAAGAUAAGAACCCACCGAGCGACCUUAUCCCUCUUGAGAAGCCAGCACUCACAUCCAGAGUGUGCAGUCUUUCCUUCCUCAACUCCUCUUUUCCCUUAAGUCUAAACCUAAAACUAUGCUGGAAACUUUUCUUAAUAUAGACCUCAACCCUUCCUCAAGAUUUAAAACAAAAUCCAUAUUCUGAUUCCUUUUUAUGAAAAUUGUAACAUCAUAGCUAGAAUUACUUAGUUUGAACUGAAAUAGGAAUCCAUACCAGGCUCUCUUUUUAGACAAAAACCACUGAU
Molecule: long non-coding RNA, 677 nt
Filed under: Mus caroli (Ryukyu mouse)
Lineage: Eukaryota; Metazoa; Chordata; Mammalia; Rodentia; Muridae
Description: lncRNA (MGP_CAROLIEiJ_G0003669.1)
Source: RNAcentral